UGAAACAGAGUGCAACAGUGAAGAACAAGAGGCUUUUUUGUUGAUGAGUCGGCCUAAAUAUAUUUUAGAUGAUUGCCAAAAAGUUGUUAUUGAAGGAUUGGAGUCAAGCUUAGGAUCAGUUUAUCCUAUGGGUCUGUACUACAAGGUUGAGUGCGUCAACCGACAACGCAGAAAUCAGGUUUAUAGACGAGUGCUUUAUGCCGGGGUGGACGAGCUUCCGUUAGGCCAUUGAUUUCCCAAUGAAGGAGCUUUGAGGCAAGCACUGCAAUGAUGUAUAUUUGUAUAUGGCAUAAUCUGUAGGAACCCUCUCCUUGUUUCCUUUUGUUCUUGGUUUUGCUCCAGUUGAUUACUGCCCUAUGAGAUCUGCACAGACAAAAUUCAUAUUGAUUUGUUUAGUUGUGGCAUGUAUCGCAGCUACACCAGUCUGAUAAUUUAGUCCUCAAAUAAGGUAGUUUCCGUCUCCCCUUUACAUGUGACGGACAUACGUGCUUGUUGCUUGCCGUUGCUGAAGCGAGGCCUCUUAAGUGUACUUUUGUGUUCUCCCUGAUUAUGUUAAUCAGGCCGUAUGUGUUCUGUUGGUCUAUUUUCAUUUGUCUACCUCUACAGAAUUUCAAAGAUGUAAUUUUCUAUCAUGUAGUUGCCUCUUUCUUCAUAUACUAACCCUCUCCUAAAUGAUAGAUGAGGCAGGUGACUUAUCUCAUGUAUUUUCUUUUCUGUAAAUUACAACAAGUCUAUUUUAGUCAACUUAAGGGUAUGUUGAAUAUGACUGUUAAUGAAGAUAGUCAUUCUUGUUA
Long non-coding RNA from Triticum dicoccoides, 794 nucleotides. RefSeq lists it as uncharacterized. NCBI's taxonomy places the organism in Eukaryota, Viridiplantae, Streptophyta, Magnoliopsida, Poales, Poaceae. The transcript is spliced from 2 exons. The record is from RefSeq and is a predicted model, not a curated record.